CACGUAGGGCGCAAGCGUUGUCCGGAAUUAUUGGGCGUAAAGAGCGUGUAGGCGGCCAGGUAGGUCUGCUGUGAAAACUCGAGGCUCAACCUCGAGACGUCGGCGGAAACCAUCUGGCUAGAGUCCGGAAGAGGAGAGUGGAAUUCCUGGUGUAGCGGUGAAAUGCGCAGAUAUCAGGAAGAACACCCGUGGCGAAGGCGGCUCUCUGGGACGGUACUGACGCUGAGGCGCGAAAGCCAGGGGAGCGAACGGG
RNAcentral lists this ribosomal RNA (253 nucleotides) under uncultured bacterium. RNAcentral's name for it is "partial 16S ribosomal RNA". It matches the Rfam family "Bacterial small subunit ribosomal RNA", at positions 524 to 776 of the family's 1533-position model. The record is from RNAcentral.